RNAcentral lists this ribosomal RNA (415 nucleotides) under uncultured microorganism. RNAcentral's name for it is "bacterial SSU rRNA". It matches the Rfam family "Bacterial small subunit ribosomal RNA", at positions 9 to 420 of the family's 1533-position model. The record is from RNAcentral.
GAGUUUGAUCGUGGCUCAGAUUGAACGCUGGCGGCAUGCCUUACACAUGCAAGUCUAACGGCAGCAUGAUCUAGCUUGCUAGAUUGAUGGCGAGUGGCGAACGGGUGAGUAAUACAUCGGAACGUGCCCUGUAGUGGGGGAUAACUAGUCGAAAGAUUAGCUAAUACCGCAUACGACCUGAGGGUGAAAGUGGGGGACCGCAAGGCCUCAUGCUAUAGGAGCGGCCGAUGUCUGAUUAGCUAGUUGGUGGGGUAAAGGCCCACCAAGGCGACGAUCAGUAGCUGGUCUGAGAGGACGAUCAGCCACACUGGGACUGAGACACGGCCCAGACUCCUACGGGAGGCAGCAGUGGGGAAUUUUGGACAAUGGGCGAAAGCCUGAUCCAGCAAUGCCGCGUGUGUGAAGAAGGCCUCGG